Molecule: long non-coding RNA, 4004 nt
Organism: Prinia subflava (tawny-flanked prinia)
Lineage: Eukaryota; Metazoa; Chordata; Aves; Passeriformes; Cisticolidae
Exons: 5
Source: RefSeq, a predicted model, not a curated record
CCGGCGAGGGAGUGACCGGCCCCCGGGCGAGGGAGUGACCGGCCCCGGGCGAGGGAGUGACCGGCCCCCGGGCGAGGGAGUGACCGGCCCCCGGCGAGGGAGUGACCGGCCCCCGGGCGAGGGAGUGACCGGCCCCCGGGCGAGGGAGUGACCGGCCCCCGGCGAGGAACAGAGUGACUCCAGCAAGGGACUGAGCCCCGGUGUUGUGAAUAAACAUGAUCUCAAUGGACUUCAGGCCUGGAUCAUUACCCAUGUGCUUUGCUCUGCAAAUGCUUCUUGCUUCCACUUCUUCUCACCUAGCAUCAUUUUGAGGACUGGAUUCCUCUCCUGUGGUGUGCCAGUAUCUUGGGAUGUGCAGUGGCCACGUUUGCAAUGAUCAAGGCUGCUUUUUGCCUGCCAGUGCCAAAGACUGGUAUGUGAAUUGUAGUAAUAAGAGAACUCUAGGUUAUCAGAGAUGAAAAUUCUUAGCUAAAAUUUGAGUCUAUAAAUGGAAUGACAGAAUCUAUUUCACUGGCACAGGGAGAGGGGCCAGGGGAUGGCAGUGGUUCUUUGCAUCCCCUGUGUUUCACGCUGCCUGCCGUGGCACUGGCAGCCUCAGUGUCACAGGUGGAGCUGCCAAGGUUUGGGUGUUGGUUGCUUGUCAAGAGAUGAAGAGUGGAAAUGCUGAACUGCAGAACUUGAAAUGAAGGUUUGUGAAAACUGGUAUCAGUCGGUGCUAUUUUCAGCAGCUGCAAUAUGGAACAUGACUAAGUGAGUUUUAUUUUGAUCCUGAAAGCAGACUUGGUGAAGCUGCUGAGCUCGGCUGGUUGGCCUGGGGUAGAGUUCCUUUUUUCCCAGUAGCUGGUCCUGGCAUUCUUUUGGAUUUGAGCUGAGACAGUGUUGCUAACACAGGGAUGUUUUCACUGUGCUGAGCAGUGUUCACACAGCAUCCAGGGCUUUUGUGCAUCUCAGCCCACCCACCAGGGAGUGCGCUGGGUGAGCACAAGGAGCUGGGAGGGAACACUGCUUCCCCCAAGUGAGCCAAGGAAUAUCCCAGGCCAUGUGGCCUCAUGUUCAGCACACAAAGCUGGAGGAAGAAGGAAGUGGGGGAUGUCAGGAGUGGAGGUAAAGUCACCAUUGCAUGUGAUGGAGCCCUGCUUUCCUGUAGAUGGCUGAACAUCUGCCUGCAGGGGGCAGUGGGCAAUAGAUUCUUUCUUUUGCUGUGUUUGUGUGCAUUGUUUUUCCUUGACCUAUUAAACUGUGUUUAUCUCAACCUGUGAAUUUGCUCCUUUUCCUGAUUCCCUCCCCCAUGCCACUGUGGGGAGUGAGCAGGCAGCUCUGUGGGGCUGAGUUGGCAGCUGGGGUUAAACCAUGCCCGUCCUUUUUGGUGCCUGCCAUGGAGCCUGAAGGCUUUGAGGAUAGAAAAGUCUAAAUGUGUGUGCCAAAUCAAAAGCUUGCUUUAUUUUUAGAUGACGGAUACAGAUCUACUUUAUGGCUACUGGACAGAAAGGACAGAUGCUUGUGAAAAUCCCUCUUUGAAGCAAUUCAUCAUGUCUUUGAGUGCCAUGCUGAAGACAGAACCAGCUGCAUCAGCAGUACAUGGGUUCAGUGUCCUUGAAGAGUGGGAAUUACCGAGUGUCAAAAGGCAGCAGACAAUGAGAAACCUGGAAAGGAGAUGGAUCUGGAUGCAUGCCCUCCACUCAUGGUUGCCCCGGUAACGGAGGUUGCCGUAAUUCCCGCAUGCCGCGCAGAGCGCGGAGCGGACGGAAACGGCGCUGGGCACACGAGCGGCGCCACUUACGCAGUUGACGCAAGUUUGGUAUUCACGAACGUUACGCAAUCUACGGAGCGUUCGUGAAUAGCGCGGGUUACGCAAUUUGCGUACGCGGCGGGAAUUCCGCCCAUUGCAUCCCAGGGGGAUGGAGCUACUGGGGAGAAGGCAACGGGUUCUUCAAUCAGAUUAAAAGCAAGAAGAUAUAGGUGGAAGUAAUGAUAAAAAAUACAAAGCUAAAUGGAGCUUGCAGAGAUAGACCAAAACCAUAAAAACCUGCAAAUAUGCUUGGUGUUACAAGUUGCAUAGUUAAGAUUUUCAAGCAGAGACAAGGAAGGACAAAAAAUAUUCCUAAGACUCUGAGAAAACCUUCUCUACCAUCUGCAUAUAGUGGAAGGCUGAAGGUCUCAAGACAGCUUUAACAUCCCUUUUUUCAAGGGCUUAACAAUGAUCAUUUUCUUUGACACCACCUCAUACAAGCUUUAAGGUCCAGCCUGGAAGGGCGGCUCAGCCCCUGAGGCCAGGCCAGACACGGCCGAGAGCUCAGAGCACAUCUCCGUGUGCUCUCACUCACUCACUGACUCACUGGGGCCCAGCUGGGCUAUCCUGCCCCCAGCUCUGGGCUGGGACAUGCUCAAUCUUGGUUUGUUUUUCAGCCCCAGCAGAAGAGAGAAGCUGCUCCUGCCUGAACAUCUGGCUCCUCCUCAUUUUUGCCCUUGCCAUCAAAGCUGCCUUGGUGACCAUCUGCCUUGGUGGGUUCCAGGGUCUCUUAAUUCCCUUGGGAUGAAGGUCUCAGGUGACUGUCUUUGUUCACAUGGAAAACCCAUAUCCUAGUCACUCUGCCAGCAGGGAAAUGCCCUCCACAAAAACACAGGUCAGAGAUCCCUUCUCAUGCAGCCUCUUGUUUUAUGAGAAUAUAUCUGUGGCUUUAAUCCACCAUUUGAAUCUCUGUGCAGAAGGCAGAUCUCUUGGACUAGCUGGCUGUGUGGUGGCAGCAAGGCUGGCACAGCAGCUGGCUCUAAGCCUCUCAGUGUGCAUGAGCUGAGAGCUUGGACAACGCUGCUCUGAUGGAAGAGUUUCCAGAGGACCGUGAGCCAGUGAUUUCCUAUCCUGCUUCCUCAGGAAGGCUGAGGCAGUAGCAGUGUCUCUCAGCAAACAGAGGUUUCAUGGCUAACUGAGGAAGACACUGACCCCUUUUGAUCCCUACAGGGAUGAACAGCUCCACAGAGGGUCAAAUCCCUCAGCUGAACUAAACCAGAAGUCAUCUCUCUUCCCAUCCUUUAUCUUUAUGUAGGGAUAAGGUCACCCUUCUUGGCAGUGGGGGUGCUCAGCCAGGCAUUGCCCUUGCCCAUCUCCUCUGAGCCUUCCUUAACCAAAUAAUAAUUGGUUAGUUCACUAACCAGGCACUGCAGCCACUGUGAUUGUUCUGCUCAUAAGUAAAAAUAUUUCUAAAUUAAAUGAUGGAUGAAAUGGGCAUCUGUAUUGUUAAGAACACCCUGACCAGCUUUUAAUCCAUACUCCUGAGUGUCUGAGUUACCAGUAAGUCUGUGGGACUGUGGCUGUGGCCUGUCACCAGCAGUGCAUUAUUCCCCACAAACUGGGAGUCCAGGUAAGUCCCAGGAGUUUAUGCCCCAGCCUGGUUGCAGCAGCUCCAGCUGGAUGAGAUUCCCUUCCCCUGGACUGUGCUGCUGCUGGAACAGGCGCAGCUGCUGGGUGACUCCUCCAAAUGCCUGCUGGUGUGGAGUUUGGGAAGAGACAAAGGGUGCCAGGGAGAGGCUGCUUGGUAGACUGGCAGCUGGGCUGUGGGGAUGUGCAUGGCAGCGUGGCUGUGCUGGGGGGGAUCAAUGCUGCCCUGUGUGCCACGUCCUCCGUGGGAUGUGCUUGCAGGGCUCCUGCUGCUGCCUGACUUGGCAGACAAGGUCUCUGUCUGCCUGGGGAGGCAGCUGUGCCACAUCUAAAUGCAAUCAGUUAAGCUUCAUCUGCCAUCAUCAUUUGCCCUGUCCAGGUUGUGGGGUCACAGAGAAGUAACAGGGCUCUGGCACAGCUCUGCUGCUGCCUGGAUACAGCUGGUGAGGAGCCUGUCUAAAAGGACCCCCACCUUCAGCCUAGCAUGAUGAGGUCUUCACCACGUGUCUGCUCUCAAAUCACACACUACAAUGCAUUUGAAAUACUGGGAAAAUGUAAUAUCUGCAUCUCUGUGACAGCAGAACAUUUCCUUCUCCAGCAAAUGACUCUCAAAGAUCAAGCUCUACCU